Doryrhamphus excisus (bluestripe pipefish) is the source of this 1029-nucleotide non-coding RNA. Lineage: Eukaryota; Metazoa; Chordata; Actinopteri; Syngnathiformes; Syngnathidae. The record is from RefSeq and is a predicted model, not a curated record.
GAGAGCUUCAUUAGAAGUUCCAGGAUAUUCUCCAUGUUGUCAUCCCGAUCAUUAAUGAGGCGUUUAUCAAGCACAGGAGCCACCGUGGGCCCGUAAGGGGAAUCGGCCGCACAGGGUUCCAGGUUGCCCACAGUGAGGGAGCGGGCAGAAGAAGAAAACCACAGCAGUGCCAGCUCUGGAUUACAAGGUGCAAAACCAUCCAUGUGGUCGACGGACUGCACAGGGAGAAUUUCCUCAGGCCUCAGGAAGGUCUUCAAGGAAUCGCUGCUGAAAUGAGGAGUCACCCAGUUCUGAAGGGGAGAAGAACUUUCAAGCUGGAAGGUGUAACGUGAGAUUCCUCCGUGCUCGGCUGCUUGGGGGACCCAGGAAACUGUUGUGAGGUUGAUCAUUGGCUCUCCUGGAGGAUAAAGCUUCACUGCAGGAUUGGCACAUGUGGAGAUGUUUUAGACCAGGUCUAGUGGCCCCAACCAAGACUGAACUCACCGUGGCAAUACGGCCUGUAGGAUAUCUCCACAGAGGAACAGUUCACAGAAAUUCUCAACACGUGGGACGUAUGAGAGUGUCACUGCCGAGUUGCUCCAACUCACAAUGCCGUCUUGCUUGAAGAUGAGAGAACACGUCUUUAGUGCAGGUGUGGAGAUGUCAGCUGGCGCCAGCAAACAGGAAGAUGAGUAAAAGGCGAGGCAAAGAAAAAUGCUUUUGAGAAGGAGGCGAGCGCUUGACUGCGGCAUAUGACGAGAGGGCAGAAGUGAGAACGGGUAAAGUCUCAAUUGGGAAGGCCACACUUGUACGUCUACGCCGCAUGGUGUAUGGAUGCACAUGGCAAUGAAAAAGGUUGCCAUGGUUACCAGCAGUUCAUCCUUCACACAAAUCGGUCCCACUCGGGCAUUCACGUAGAAAAGGUGCAGAAGAUGGGGGAAGCGUGACUGACUGACAUGUCAGACUGAGCCAUUGUUUUCACUUCCCAGUUGAGCGUUGUUAUGUUCACGCCCACAAAGUGUGGUUCCCGCCAACACUCGACCUGUCAGA